UUUAAAGUUAUUUAGAUUUGGUAAAAGUUUAAGUUCAGAACAAGCUUGUGCCAGCAUUCGCGGUUAUACAAGUUGAGCAGGUAAAAGUUUUUAGUUGGUAGUUAAUUUUAAUUACAAAAUUAUAAGUUAAAUUUAUAGGUGAAAUUUUAAAUUUUUAUUAAAUUUUAUUUGUUUAAAUGAAGCUAUGAAAUUUUUUUAAUUAAACUAGGAUUAGAUACCCUACUAUGAAGAAUGUGAAUAUAAACUAGGGUAGUAAUAGAUAUGAUCUUGAAACCUAAAAAAUUUGGCGGUGCUUUAGUCUAUUUAGAGGAACCUGUUCCGUAAUCGAUAGUCCACGAUAAAUUUUACUUGAUCUUGUCUAGCUUAUAUACCGUUGUUAUCAGAAUAUUUCAGAAGAAUUUAAUGUUCUAAUAUUUAUAUAAAAAUUUAUUUCAGGUCAAGGUGUAGCUUAUGAUUAAGUGGAAAUGGGUUACAAUAAAGUUAUUUACACGGAUAUGAGGUUGAAAUAUCUUAUUGAAGGUGGAUUUAAUAGUAAAUAAAAAUAUAUUUUUUUGUUGAUUAUAGCUCUAAAGCAUGCACACAUCGCCCGUCGCUCUUUUUAAUUAAAGAUAAGUCGUAACAUAGUAGGUGUACUGGAAAGUGUAUCUAGAAUGCA
RNAcentral lists this ribosomal RNA (655 nucleotides) under Austrogymnocnemia maculata. Its description in RNAcentral is "12S ribosomal RNA". The stretch from base 248 to 648 matches the Rfam family "Eukaryotic small subunit ribosomal RNA", at positions 1118 to 1823 of the family's 1831-position model. Lineage: Eukaryota; Metazoa; Arthropoda; Insecta; Neuroptera; Myrmeleontidae. The record is from RNAcentral.